GUAGUCAUAUGCUUGUCUCAAAGAUUAAGCCAUGCAUGUCUAAGUAUAAACAAAUUUGUACUGUGAAACUGCGAAUGGCUCAUUAAAUCAGUUAUAGUUUAUUUGAUAAUACCUUACUACUUGGAUAACCGUGGUAAUUCUAGAGCUAAUACAUGCAAUAAAAUCCCGACUUCUGGAAGGGAUGUAUUUAUUAGAUAAAAAACCAACCCGGCAACGGUUCUUUGGUGAUUCAUGAUAACUUUUCGAAUCGCAUGGCUUUACGCCGGCGAUGGUUCAUUCAAAUUUCUGCCCUAUCCACUUUCGAUGGUAGGAUAGAGGCCUACCAUGGUUUUAACGGGUAACGGCGAAU
RNAcentral lists this ribosomal RNA (349 nucleotides) under uncultured Chaetomium. RNAcentral's name for it is "SSU rRNA". It matches the Rfam family "Eukaryotic small subunit ribosomal RNA", at positions 20 to 370 of the family's 1831-position model. RNAcentral also lists the same sequence under 1 other name. Lineage: Eukaryota; Fungi; Ascomycota; Sordariomycetes; Sordariales; Chaetomiaceae. The record is from RNAcentral.